UGAAUGUCUGUUCUAAUACCUACAGGUGUAAUAUUAACCUGUGGGCUUCGCUUUCAGACUAAAUUGAAUUCUCCAAACCUAUCCUAGUGUGAUUCUAUAUCUUGGGAAUUGCACUGGUAUCUUGUAGAUACAUUU
This is a small nucleolar RNA of Pectinophora gossypiella (pink bollworm), 135 nucleotides long. RefSeq annotates it as small nucleolar RNA psi28S-1192. The transcript has a single exon. NCBI's taxonomy places the organism in Eukaryota, Metazoa, Arthropoda, Insecta, Lepidoptera, Gelechiidae. The record is from RefSeq and is a predicted model, not a curated record.